AUUGAACGCUGGCGGCAUGCCUUACACAUGCAAGUCGAACGGUAACGGGCCUUCGGGUGCCGACGAGUGGCGCACGGGUGCGUAAUACAUCGGAACGUGCCCGAUCGUGGGGGAUAACGAGGCGAAAGCUUUGCUAAUACCGCAUACGAUCUACGGAUGAAAGCCGGGGACCGCAAGGCCUUGCGCGGACGGAGCGGCCGAUGGCAGAUUUGGUAGUUGGUGGGAUAAAAGCUUACCAAGCCGACGAUCUGUAGCUGGUCUGAGAGGAUGAUCAGCCACACUGGGACUGAGACACGGCCCAGACUCCUACGGGAGGCAGCAGUGGGGAAUUUUGGACAAUGGGCGCAAGCCUGAUCCAGCCAUGCCGCGUGCAGGAUGAAGGCCUUCGGGUUGUAAACUGCUUUUGUACGGAACGAAAAGCCUUCUUUUAAUACAGGAGGGUCAUGACGGUACCGGAAGAAUAAGCACCGGCUAACUACGUG
Molecule: ribosomal RNA, 482 nt
Filed under: uncultured bacterium
Lineage: Bacteria
Description: partial 16S ribosomal RNA
Rfam family: Bacterial small subunit ribosomal RNA
Source: RNAcentral